Molecule: ribosomal RNA, 860 nt
Filed under: uncultured archaeon
Lineage: Archaea
Description: bacterial SSU rRNA
Rfam family: Archaeal small subunit ribosomal RNA
Source: RNAcentral
GCCAUGCGAGUCAUUGUAGCAAUACAAGGCAGACGGCUCAGUAACGCGUAGUCAAUCUACCCUGUUGACGGGGAUAACCUCGGGAAACUGAGAAUAAUACCCGAUAGAACAUUAUGCCUGGAAUGGUUUAUGUUUCAAAUGAUUUAUCGCAAUAGGAUGGGACUGCGGCCUAUCAGUUUGUUGGUGAGGUAAUGGCCCACCAAGACUAUUACAGGUACGGGCUCUGAGAGGAGUGGCCCGGAGAUGGGUACUGAGACACGGACCCAGGCCCUAUGGGGCGCAGCAGGCGAGAAAACUUUGCAAUGUGCGAAAGCACGACAAGGUUAAUCCGAGUGGUUUCUGCUAAAGAAACCUUUUGUCAGUCCUAGAAACACUGAUGAAUAAGGGGUGGGCAAGUUCUGGCGUCAGCCGCCGCGGUAAAACCAGCACCUCAAGUGGUCAGGAUGAUUAUUGGGCCUAAAGCAUCCGUAGCUUGUUUUGUAAGUUUUCGGUUAAAUCCAUACGCUUAACGUAUGGGCUGCCGGGAAUACUGCAUAACUAGGAAGUGGGAGAGGUAGACGGUACUCGGUAGGAAGGGGUAAAAUCCUUUGAUCUAUUGAUGACCACCUGUGGCGAAGGCGGUCUACCAGAACACGUUCGACGGUGAGGGAUGAAAGCUGGGGGAGCAAACCGGAUUAGAUACCCGGGUAGUCCCAGCUGUAAACUAUGCAAACUCAGUGAUGCAUUGGCUUGUGGCCAAUGCAGUGCUGCAGGGAAGCCGUUAAGUUUGCCGCCUGGGAAGUACGUACGCAAGUAUGAAACUUAAAGGAAUUGGCGGGGGAGCACCACAAGGGGUGAAGCCUGCGGUUCAAUUGGAGUCA